This 350-nucleotide ribosomal RNA is filed under the name uncultured Alphaproteobacteria bacterium. RNAcentral describes it as "bacterial SSU rRNA". It matches the Rfam family "Bacterial small subunit ribosomal RNA", at positions 9 to 389 of the family's 1533-position model. The record is from RNAcentral. Lineage: Bacteria; Pseudomonadati; Pseudomonadota; Alphaproteobacteria.
GAGUUUGAUCAUGGCUCAGAACGAACGCUGGCGGCAGGCCUAACACAUGCAAGUCGAGCGCUGUAGCAAUACAGAGCGGCGCACGGGUGAGUAACACGUGGGAACGUGCCCUUUGGUUCGGAAUAACUCAGGGAAACUUGAGCUAAUACCGGAUGAGCCCUAACGGGGAAGAUUUAUCGCCGAAGGAGCGGCCCGCGUCGGAUUAGCUAGUUGGUGGGUAAUAGCCUACCAAGGCAACGAUCCGUAGCUGGUUGAGAGAACGACCAGCCACACUGGGACUGAGACACGGCCCAGACUCCUACGGGAGGCAGCAGUGGGGAAUCUUGGACAAUGGGGGAAACCCGUGAUCC